UCAUACACUUUAGAACAGCUAAGCGAAACCGUCCUUCUAGGUGUAUCCGUCUAUAUUCCUCUCACAACCAAAGUUCAUGAUACCUAAGCUUCUGAGAUUGUAACAGCAGAAGAGGAAACCCUGGAGGGCUGAACCUCUAGUUCAAUCAACAAUUUAUAGUAAUGGAAGUAUUUACAGCUACCGUCUGCGAAUAGUGAACGUCACCAUUUUGUUAAAGAUAUUAAAAUAUAUUACUUUUAGCUCAUCGCUCAGGAACUAGAGAAUCUAUGGAAAAAAUUUGAUUUUCCAUGUAUAACAUUAAAGUCUGUUGUAAGAAAAGUAAAAACUCUGUUGACAAGGUAUGAUACCCAUUUGAAUGUCUGAAACCAGGUCAAAAUUUUGAAGAUUUGUUUGACAUUACUAAUCAACAUGGGAGCUGGUUAUCUAAAAAAGACAAAGACUUUUACAGUACACAAAUUCAAAAUGGCAGUAUAACUGGCUACACCAUGUCUCAGUUAGCUAUGGUUCAUCUUUCAAAACGAACACCUUCUUCAUUAAGAGUGUCAGCUUCAACUUCACAAGCAUUUCUAAAGCAGAUACAUCAUCAGAAACCUCUACUUCUGAUUCUGCAGAUGAAAUUACAUUACCAAUAGAUGAACAAGUUGGCACCUCUAAACAACAAUAUCAUUCAACUCAGAAAGCAAUGAACUUACUGAAAAAAAAAUGAAUUUAAGCAGUCAUAAAGCAGCCAAUGUCUGCAAACAGCUGAGAGAGGAAGGAGUACUUCUCUCUACUCCGUCACAGUCAGGUGUGUACAAAGCUGUUAUGAGAGAGGCUGCAAAGAGGAAGCAGGAACUAAAAGAAACUUUAAAAAAUGACAAGUGGGUGCUCCAUUUUGAUGGAAAGAGGCAAGUUGUGGUAGUGAAAAACAACACAAGAGAAAUUAAAUUAGCAGCACUAACUCUGAAGAAUGGCAGAGCAGAUACCAUUUUUCAAGGACUAAAGGAAGUUUUAGAUGAUUACGAAUUGUGGCCAGCAAUCAAAAUGAUCAUCACAAACACAUGUAGUGUAAAUACAGGAAAGCAUACUGGAGUGGUCAUUCAACUCAGAAUGAAUUUGUAAAGCAUGGAUAUUCUGCACCUCAAUACAUUGGUUGCCAAUAUCAUGUGUUAGACCGCCUCCUAAAACAUGUGAUGGAUGAUACACUGAAAGGAAAAACUGCAUCACCAAAUAUAUCAUAUCCGUUCAUAGAAGAUUUAAUAGAAAAAAAAACUAUGAGGAUUUGAUGGCAGAAUGGAAACAAGGCAAAGCAAAACUUCAAAUGGAUGAUAAUUCAGGUUGGAGAGAUGACCUUCAGUUUGAACUUGGUCGUGCUUUCUAGUUUUAUCAGCAACAAAGCAUUUUCCCAGAAACUAAGUUUAGAAACUUCUUAGACUUAGCAACGCAUGUUGGAAUUCACAAGCAAUCUUGGCCAUCCUCACUUACAUGCUUCUACCACAAAGUAGGGAAAAACUCUACAACAUGUGUUGUUUUAUCAAUGGAAACUGGAUGGAAAUGUGGUUUUGUUACCUAAGUUUUGACAGCAUGGCCUACCAGAAACUUUCAGAAGUUUCUGGAUAUAUUAAAGCAAGGAAAUGUUUGAAAGGUAAUUGGAAUCUUGAAGAAUCAGUAAUUCAAGAUGUUCAGCGUUCAAACAUAUGUGCUGAACGUGCAGUAAAAAUAAUGGAGGAAUUAGAUUGCAGGUCUUCUGAAAAAUUGAAUCUUCAAUUUGUUUUAACCAACAAGGAUCUUUGAAAACUGCUGUUGUAUUAGGCUGCACUUACCACAUUAACAAUGUAUAACUGUACGUCUUGUUACUUGAACAAUAUACGUAUAUCCAUAGUAAAAAUGUUGUCAAAUAUAUUGUCAUCAGUGGGGAAAUUUUUUGUGUCAAAGAAAGAAAUGAUUUUGUCAUUAUAACAUAAAGUUCACCUUCUGGUACCUUGGCCUUACUCGACUUAAAAAAAGUCAUCACCCUAAUGGCGAAUUAAUACUGUUGUUUUGGAACAGCUUGGAUCUUGAGGUAUUUGUGAUCAUCCUGGACCUAGACAUUAAGAUUAAGGUACUGGAUGUAAACAGUAGUGAAGGUGAUGCCUUCAGACUAAAAGCUGUCUAUGUUGUAAAUGGAAAAAGAUAUCCAGAUUUCUUCAAAUGUCUAAAAGCAUUUUUUGGCACAUCCUGCUCUUUAGUACUAGUAGGAAACUGGAAUGGCAUUUUAGAUGCAUGCUGGGUUUAGGAGUGGAGUGUAAAAACCUCACAAAACUGCUCAGACAGUUACAAUUGCCUGCCAUGUACCAACUGGAUUUCUCAAAUGCACCAGUGUAGACAAAGAACCACCACUAGAUCAUCUAAAUUGUAUCUAGAUAGGGUAUUUGUUACAAUGGGGAAUAAAGAUAGUGCCAAAUGUCCAGCUUCAACUGAUUGGUUAUGCAAACUACAAAUUUGUGAUCUGUACAGUUAACUUAGAAUGCAUAGACAAGGCUACAGCUACUAAGAGAUUAAUGCAUCAUUCCCAGUAAGCAAAGCUUACAGUGGCUGGAUUAGCAAAUUAGUUAAGCAGAAGUUGACAGGAGCAACUAUCAAUAACUGGGUAUAGCAUUCUAAAGAAAGUGAUUAUAAAAACAGAUCAAGAGAACUAGAUAAGACGUGAUUAGGAAAAGUAUCAUGACAGAUGUGCUAGUGGUGAGACCGGCUCUCAAUCGUUUCUUCAAAAUGAAACAUAAAAAAUACAUUGUCAGAAUUAAGUGCUUGCUCACUUCAACAUACUAUAGUAUUUGCAUGGCAGUCAAAGCUAAUGACCACGAACUGAAACUGCUUUAAAUCAUAUGCUCAGUGUACCAAAGAUAAUUAUCUAUAUGUACUGAAUCACAAGUCGCCCCUGUGGAAACUGUCAAUGCUGAGAAGCAUCUGAUUUGAACAGUGGUGCAGAAGAACUGUUUCUAUAUAUAUGGAUAACAUCACCAUAAUGGUAUCAGACACUACAGAUGUUAUGGUAAUAGAGACCAUUCUAAAGAAAUAUGAGGUGGUGACAGGAGUAAAAAAGUAACCCAAAGAAAUCAGUGGGCUUGUAAUCUGGCACCUAGAGAAGCAAGUCUUUGUUGAUUAAGUUGCUUGAGGUCUGAUUUUGACCUACAAGUGAGAGAAGGUUAUGAAUAAUCUAUCUCACACAGAAAUGGGCUAAGUGGGGAAAGGUUAGGCAGAGGUGAUAAAUAUGUAAAAUGCAUCUGUUGAAUAUUAUUAACCAAUUAUGUACAGGUCUGACUGUGUGGUUAAGAAACUUGCUUCCCAACCAUGUGAUCCCAGGUUUUUGGGUGUGUGUCUUCAAUUACAGCCUGUGGUCAACCAAAGCCUUAACCUAGAAUGUAUAGACAAGGAUACAGCAUGCAUCUAAAGCCUUUCUCAGUACAUACUUGUCAGCAUUUUGCCCAUCUUUACGUUCUGAAUUCAAAUUCCACCAAGGUCUAUUUUGCCUCUCAUCCUUUUGGGGUCAAUAAAUUAAGUACCAGUUGGGUACUGGGGCUGAUGCAAUCAAGUUAACCCUUCCCCCAAAAUGUCAGGUCUUAUGCCUAUAUAGAAUGGAUUAUUAUUAUUAUUAUUAUUAUUAUUAUUAUUAUUCAUUGUGUAGGUGGCAAUAUCCAACUCAGUCAUUUACUAAAACCAACCACAGAGAGGGGGCUGUGGAAAUGAAAUAAACUAAAAAGUAACACUAAUGGUGACACCCCCAGAGUGGCUACAGGCAAUGAUUUAAACAGGUAAAAUGAGUAAGAGUCAUUUAUAUCUAAACAAGUGGUCUGACAAAGAUUUUGGUACAAUUUCUGACUUUCUCUUUUGAACCAUAGAAUAUUCCAUAGAGGAAGCCAUCUGUUGCCAGCACUCAUCUCAAUCAUGUCUGGCAGGUUGGGAGGUCAACUAUCUUGGCUCCAAGUAAUUUUAUAUGUUACAGUUGUUAUUAUCUUCCUCGUUCAUCAGCCAAAUAUUUAGCAUUUCUCUUACUUUGCGAUUAACCACAGAUGCUAUUUUGAGCCAUGUUCAUACAAUGUUGGUCUGGGACUAAAAUGUCUGGUUUCCCAGGGAAGCAAAAUAGUUCUAAAGUUCAAGCCUGAAUCCAUCCUACAACUGAUGAUAGUCUUAAGACAAGAGAUGUUCAAACAUCUGGAUUGUAACUUAAUAAGAAUUGACUCAUAUGUGUGGACAAGGUUCUGAUAGAAUGCACAGCUGACAAAAUCCAGCAACAACCAAUCAAAAUGUAGUUCAAUAAGUGCAAAUUUUGGCCAUCAUAUCUGUUAUAACAAGAAUUGGAUAAGAAAUUUUAUAAUACCUACAUGGCUAUUGGUAUAACACUACUGUGUUGAAUUUUUUUUUAUCUUAUAUCAAUAAUUCUUGAAUAAGCCAGUAACUUUACAGCUCUCCAGAUAAGAAGGAACAGAAUUACAAUGUACAUAUUAAUCAACUUCAAUUUUAGUCAACUAAAGGUGUGUUUUACAAGGCAAUGUCUUAUGUAUUUACAGACAAAUAUAUAUUACAUACAUGACAAAAAUGCAUGUAAAAUAUGUACUAAAAUCCAAUGAACAAUAAACCUGUGUUGUACAAAAUCCAACAAUUUGAAAUAAUAUGUGAUGAGUGGUGAAGAGGAUGAUAAAAAUCCACUAGCAAUUAAUUUAAUAUGGCAUGAAGAUUGGAUGUUGAUUACCACAGAGAGAAUUCAGGUGAUGACAGUUAAGAACAUAAUCAAUAAUUAAGACAAAAACAGAGUCACAUUAGAUGUGGCUCCAACUGCAAUACUUCGAUAUAAUAAGGGAUCUUAUUCACUGACUGCAAAUGAAAAGAGUAAGUGUCAAAGCGAAAAUUAUCAAAUCCCACAGUUUAAAGAAUAUCCUUGCAGAAGUCUUUAAAGUUUAUUUUGAUAUCUGUAGCCAAGUGUACAUCAGAAUGUUUCUAAAAUUUAGUUAUGUGUAAAGUUUAUUUGCAAGACUAGAAAAGUGCAAUCAUAAAGUGAGAUUUUUUAUGGCUCCUAUUAGAAUCAUCUAGAUGAAUGAUGCCACAAAGAAUUUGGCCAUUAACCUCUUCAAUCAUUUCUACCAUGCUAGAGAGGUACAUACUCAACCUAUACCCUUACUAUGGAUGUGCUAUCCCAAAAUUUAAACUCUAAUGCUUUUUAGAGUAGAGAUAGUCAUUACAACAGCCAUAAACUUUGCAUUUGUGGAGUUAGUGGAUGUGUCUGAACUAGUAAAUAGUUAAUAACUGUAGAGUAGCAUGGAAACAGAUAGUAAGACAUUGAAACUACUCGAGCAAAAAAGCAUAUCAAUAAUUCUAGCAAUUGACCAAAAACAGAACAAAGAAGUAAGGAAUAUGUUUAUGGUCAAAGUGGUGUUCAGCAAAGUUGUACAUUACUACUGACUGUAUUCGACCUUAUGACUCACUGGAAGUUAUUUACAGCUUAAGGUGAACACUAUAGAGUUCACCAGGGACCUUGAUGAUGCCAGCAACAUUAUUCGGUAAUUUUUCAGAUUAGCACCUGCACGAUUUUCACUAGGGUGUUAGGGUUAGGGUUUUAGGGUCAGGGUUAGCGUUUUAGGGUUAGGGUUUAGUGUUAGGGUUAGUGUUAGGGUUUUAGGUUUAGGGGUUAGGUAAUCGUGCUGGUGUUAAUCUGAAAAAUUACCCAUUAUUCUCCUGAGCUUGUCUUAUGCUGAUCUUCUGGUCAUAGCAGAUGAGCUCAAGAAUAUUUCAAGGUAAAUUAAACCUGAAAAUCAAAGCAAUCCAAACCAAUAUCCUGUUACUUGGCUUUACAAGUGAAUAUAAAUGCAUUCUCACAAUUAAUAAUAUUCAUCUAAGAAAAGCACAACAAUUUGUGAAGCUGGAUCCUUUUUCAUGCUAACUUUUAAAAUCAAAGCAUAAAAAUGAGAGUUGCAUUAAUGUAGCUCAUAUUGCCCACUGAAAGUUCUGCUCAAAAUCCAGUGACUCCGAAACACUGAUAAUUCUCCUCAGUAGCUAUGAAAUUUGAACUUUCUUUGGAUUGAGGACCCCUGUCACCUGAAGGUAUUUCACAAUUAGUGUCUGAGAAUAUAAUCACCAUCAUCAUCAUCAUCGUUUAACGUCUGCUUUCCAUGCUAGCAUGGGUUGGACGAUUUGACUGAGGACUGGUGAACCGGAUGGCUACACCAAGCUCCAAUCUGAUUUGGCAGAGUUUCUACAGCUAGAUGCCCUUCCUAACGCCAACCACUCCAAGAGUGUAGUGGGUGCUUUUACGUGCCACCGGCACGAAGGCCAGUCAGGUGGUACUGGCAACGGCCAUGCUCAAAAUGGUGUAUUUUACAUGCCACCUGCACAGGAGCCAGUCCAAACGGCACUGGCACGAUCUCGCUCGAAUGUCUGUUUAACAUUAAAUUAGCCCUGACUGACCAGACUUAUAAUCAAGAGUAUUCCAGUCAUGACCAUCCCAUCUAAUUCUUUUUUUUUUUUCAGACAGUGUAUCUAAACCAACAUUAUCCAAUGUGUCCUUCCGUUUAAGAUUGUAGGGAGUUACUUAACAUAAAUUCAGCUGCUUUUUCUAGUAUGUCAAGUGACUAUGUAGAGGUUUUUUCAGUGGCUAAAGUUUAACAGCUAUUCCAUGUGCAAAUCCAUAUGAAAAAACUUAGCUAAGCUUGCAAUACUAAGUACAUGUAAAAGCUUUAAUAUCAGACAAUUCAAUGCAGUCACCAGUUAAUUUAUUUUUCAUGGCUUAAGAUGUGUCAAAUGGGCUUGAAAGUGAAGAGCAAGGCCAUUGUAGUAGAGAUAGGUAAGUUAGGAAAAAUGAUAGUAUUUGUUUAUGGGUCUUACUUGAACUUUGUAAUAGUCCAAAUAUUAAUCAGUGCAGAUAUAUUUUCUGGCCUUGAAAAUAAAGGUUACCUUUGGGAUAAAGUUUCUGCUAUGUUAUGUAUGUGAGGUCAUCUGGAAAGAUCAUUAGUGUUUAUAAGGCCAGGCAUUUGUGGCAACUUCUAAGAUUUUAAUUGCAUGAAAUUAAUGACUUUCAGAAGAAAAGGUACAAAAUUUUCUCAAUAUGAGAAGUGAUUUUGUCUUUAAAAGAGACAGGAUUGUUCAUCUAACAGAUGUCAGCAUGGGAUGUAUAUAAUAAAACAAUAAAGAUGACAAUGAAAUUACUAACAUACAUGGUUGAAGGAAUAAAUCUCACAAUAAUUUAACUUGAAAUGCAAUAUAAGCAAUGCGCAUGUUGAAGUAUUUGACACAUUUCUUUUGAGUUUCAACCCUUUCAUUGCAGAAAUCAGAUAUAUCCACUAAAACUUUCAUUACCCUGAACAGCAGAAAGCAGUUAUCUUUUGUUGAGGAAUGUCAUGUUUGAUACUAUUUUUUGUUGAGAUAAGUCAAAUUUGAGGCAAUGUAACAUGCCUGAAAAUACCAAUUUUAUAUUUUGGUAAAUAUUUUAACAUCAUUACUGGAAUAACCAUUAAACUUAUUUCGCAGUUAAUGGGUUAAUAGCUCAUUUACAACAUCCAAUCACAGUUCAUUUGACAUUGAUUACAGAGCCACAAGUUAAUUUGUAUGAAAACCCAAUUUUACUCUACUGGGAAAUGUCCAGACAUAUAUACAAUCAACUAUCAUUGGAAUGCAGCAUAAUUUCACUUAAAUUUAUCACUCAUAGUUCCAAUCUUCAAGUUCCUCCGACUAUGCACUUAAAGCAUGUAAAUAUCCAGUUCUAAUCUAUGGAGAAUAGAAAGUGCAUAUUAUCUACCAAGAGUGAUUAAUGAUUUUUCUAUCUUUAGACAAUAAGUCAUUGAUAUUUUCCAACUGCUGGUUGUAGGCGCAAGGUAUUUAAUAUCAUCACCUGUCAUCUUUAGUAGAGUCCAUUCAGUUGCAAGAAUAUGGACAAGGUCUUCGGAUUGAAGGUAAUUUCUCUCCUACCUCCUACCAGUGGCGGCCCCGUAAAGGGUCAUGAGCACUACCCUACCCACUUGACUAAAGAUUGAAAAAUAGCUUUUGAGUUGCGAUUGUCGUCUACUUCCGUAUCAAAGGGCUUGCUAGUUGCAUACACACACAUACAUAAGAUAUAAGCUAUAAAACCUGGAUUCUAAGAAUGUAACUGAUCCCGCGUAAGCACUCCAGACGAAAGAAUAGGUUAUCACAAAGUUAAUUAAAUUCCCAUGUAAUUUAACUGGACUAUACCGAAAAUCAGGGACAUACAAACAGUAAAUUUCCUUGUGAAGUAAAUAAUAAGCAAAUAAAAUGAGGAGAGGUAUUGACAAACAGAUAGAUAUAUAUCGCAAAAAUAUUACAUACUUCAAACAAAAAUAUAGGUUUAAGAGAUUUUUAUGAGAGCACAUUCGAGAAAACGAUUUUCAAAAUCAUUGAAUAUCUAUUUCUCAUUUCUGAAUGAGAUAUAUCAUUAUUACUUUUUUUUUAAUACAAUUUCUUCCUACUUAAAAAAUUAAGUUAUCUGAGGAUUGUUGAUGUUAUAUCUCGAAAAAUUAAUUUAUAUUUAGGGAGGUGGGGAAAACAUUACACUGUCAGGCGAUCGAAGGGACAUAACUAUAACUUGUUUGUAAUCCUCACCACAACUACAAUAUGGUUUAAUAAACAAAAACACAUAUUCUAAUCAAAUCUAUAUUUUGGGGGUUGUAAUCUUUCUUUUUAAGAUGUCCGAUAUUUCAAAUUAGAUAAUAUAUAAUAAUGUCAAGGCAAUCCUGUCGAGACUAUCAAUUAUUAUGAAUACUAGAGACUAUCAAUUAUCAUGAAUACAUCAUUCAGUUUGAGGAUAUUUUAGUUACAAAAAUUUAAAUAAACAAAUAAACAGAAACAUUAAUAUUAAGUACUAGUUUCGAAAGAUCGCCGUAGAGAGAAAAUAAUUAUAUAAUAUCAAUAAAAACAAAAACAUUUAAGUGUAAAGACAUUAACGCUAGUAUCGGAAAUUAAUUACUCUAAAACUAAUUGCUUAAUCUCAUUUUGAAGGAGAGUAUACGUCAUUCCAAAUGGUAGAAAUAAUAACCAAAUCUCCCUCAAAUCUCAUCCUAUAAGGACGAAGAUGUUUCUGUUACUCAUCAAAAGAUGAGUGGCCACGGUUGGAAUGCUUUGUAUCGUAGAUUUGUUUGGUCAGUUGACCCGCGGUUAAACAACAUGAAUACAAAAUAUAAACUGGGGAUAUAUUUUAUCUUAUCUGUUCUCACGACAACAAUAUACGAGUUAACAUCAUGAGAAAAUGUUUAUGACGCCUGGAAAUAAAAAUUGUUUAUAUUUGUUUUGUUUGUUUUUUAGUAAACAUUUACGUCAUCCAAUGAAUGACUUGACAUUUAUUUUAUUAAAACUUAA
Molecule: long non-coding RNA, 9315 nt
Organism: Octopus bimaculoides (California two-spot octopus)
Lineage: Eukaryota; Metazoa; Mollusca; Cephalopoda; Octopoda; Octopodidae
Source: RefSeq, a predicted model, not a curated record